This 101-nucleotide microRNA precursor is filed under the name Daphnia pulex (common water flea). Its description in RNAcentral is "microRNA dpu-mir-9 precursor". Its record names the gene dpu-mir-9. The stretch from base 12 to 88 matches the Rfam family "mir-9/mir-79 microRNA precursor family". Rfam says of the family: The mature ~21nt miRNAs are processed from hairpin precursor sequences represented here. miR-9 is processed from the 5' arm of its precursor, and miR-79 from the 3' arm. The bounds of the precursors are predicted based on conservation and base pairing and are not generally known. Lineage: Eukaryota; Metazoa; Arthropoda; Branchiopoda; Diplostraca; Daphniidae. The record is from miRBase by way of RNAcentral.
UCGUCAUGGCGCUGCUUUUUUCUUUGGUUAUCUAGCUGUAUGAGUGUUAGAAGACGUCAUAAAGCUAGGUUACCAAAGUUAAGAACUGCCCCUCUUCAUCG